Molecule: ribosomal RNA, 342 nt
Filed under: Triticum aestivum (bread wheat)
Lineage: Eukaryota; Viridiplantae; Streptophyta; Magnoliopsida; Poales; Poaceae
Description: partial small subunit ribosomal RNA
Source: RNAcentral
AUGGUUGGCGGCGGUAGAAAUCAUCCGGCGGCAGCUCCUGUUCGUGUUCUGGUUACCAAAACACUUUGUUUCGGGGUAAAAUCCCAGGAACAAUGGCGAGUGAUGCUGCAAUUGGAGGAGUCUUCUACGGAGGCGAUAUGUAUCACUCCUCUGUUCGGGUUAUCGUGGUACGACAGUAAAAUUCCUCUCAGAGUCAGUGAUACAAGAUGGGACUUAACCAAGUCUGUCAUCGAUGAGGCAGAAGUAGCAGAUCUGUUAGCUAUGAAAGCAUAUUUUGCUGCCCACAAGGGAGAAACAGAUGAACUUAAGGAGGAUGUUGGGCAAGGAUGUGAAGCCGAUUAA